CACUCCGGUGGCUUAGAGGUUAGAGCGUCCGCCUCGAAUGUAGGAGGUCGCGGAUUCGAACCCCGGUUGAGUCA
Non-coding RNA from Potamilus streckersoni, 74 nucleotides. Lineage: Eukaryota; Metazoa; Mollusca; Bivalvia; Unionida; Unionidae. The record is from the annotation of a GenBank genome assembly.